UGUUUUCCUUGGCUUCCACUGCAAAACUACCACUUAAAGAUUCGCACUAAAAUCUAAAAGAACCUCAAAGUUCGCCAAAAAACAGAAAGAAAUGCAGAACUCAAAAAAUACGAAAGCUGAAGCUAAACAAAAAAAAAUUGGUCAAAAUAGGCUACAGCAACCUUGUAAACUACAUCAAACUCAAGAUAAGCACUCAAGUUGAACUUGCAUCAGAAAAUGCGAAAUUCUAGAACCAUGACCUGGGAAUUUCAUCAAACAUGUAAUUUGCAAUGAACAAAUCACCUCUUGAAGCUAACAAAUUGUCUGAGUGGUUGAAGUUGUGCACAAAAUGCAGCACAGCUAGCCAUAAUUCAACAGCCUAAAAAGGAACAACUUCAUCAGAGAAAUUCCAAAUGAAUUGGAGAGUUAUCUUGAUAAGUGACAACAAUUUCGAUGGCUAUUGUCCUCACAUCGUUCAUACUGUUCAAAACUUAAUAGUUCUUAAUUUGGGAAGUAACAGAUUCAAGGAAAGAUCCCUCAAUUCAUUGGAGACCUCAAAAACCUUUCAUGUUCUCGAGUUAGAACCAAAUUCCUUCAAUGCUUCAAUCUUUUAAACAUAAACAAGCUAGAGCUGCGAGGUAUAAACUUCAUUGGUAAUCAAUUGAAAAGCUAUGUUUUGAAGUUGUUUGAUAACCAGACCAAUAGAUGAUAACCUUCUUGGCCAAAGGAUGUUUGCAACAUCUUGAGGUGGUUCGAUAUAAUUGUGGCAUAAGCAUAGACCUCUCCUGCAACAAUUCGUCAGGAAGCCUUUUCGUCUCAAUUAGACCUUUUAAAGGGACUUCUUAAUCUUUCACAUUAUGCCCUGUUUGGUUAGAUCCCACCAUGCAUCGGAAACGUGAGCAGCUUGGAGUCGUUAGACUUUAGUUUCAACAAUUUCAGUGCAGAGAUCUCAACAACAUUAGCUGUUGGAUUCACUCUCUACUUUAAGCUUGUCCAGCAACUUCAGUGGAAAAAUUCCUAUAGGGUCACACUUUGACACAUUGAGCAUAGAUGGGUUGGCAUAAAUUCAAGAUGAAGUUUUAUGUGGAGCUCCUGAUGGUAACGUUUGUGACAGCAAUUGUAUUUUGGUUCUAGAAUCUACCAAUUGCAGGCCAUAGACUUAGUUCCAGAAGCUACCAAGUGUUAAGCUGCUAGAUAGAAUCUUUGUCAAAAUUGCUUAAAUGAAAUUUUCGGAUAAAAAUAAUGGCCUAGUAGGAUUGAAGUUUUAAUUUCCUUUGUUUCCAAGAUUUAAAAUUUUCCUUUUUUACUUGCAGCUGCAGGUGCUAGUUAAAAGAAGCCCAAGUCAGGUGACAAGAUCACAUCUCUUUAGAUUUCAGAAGCUGGUAUCUUUUGUUUGGAAGCAAAGCUAUAGAUCUUUACCGAAAGUCAUACUGGUCUGUGGUCGGAUUUCAGAUGGCAUUGGAAACAAUUAUUCAAAUGUUUCUGGAUAUUCUCUAGCUUAGUAGUCCACUCUCUACAGCUGCUCCAUUGUAGAUCAGGAGGCAGUCGGUAACUAGGUCGAGGUGUCCUCGUAGAUUCGACUCUUGGUAGGUGUCUCGACAUUCAGUAGCUAUACUUUCACCCGAGUCUCUCUGUUGGAAGUCGAGUACUCUUUUGUUGUGUAUAGACAAAACCCAUGUAAAUUAUUAAGACAU
RNAcentral lists this small RNA (1673 nucleotides) under Theobroma cacao (cacao). RNAcentral's name for it is "sRNA Tc08v2_g011950". Lineage: Eukaryota; Viridiplantae; Streptophyta; Magnoliopsida; Malvales; Malvaceae. The record is from RNAcentral.